This 253-nucleotide ribosomal RNA is filed under the name uncultured bacterium. RNAcentral describes it as "partial 16S ribosomal RNA". It matches the Rfam family "Bacterial small subunit ribosomal RNA", at positions 524 to 776 of the family's 1533-position model. The record is from RNAcentral.
CACGGGGGGAGCAAGCGUUGUUCGGAAUUACUGGGCGUAAAGGGCUCGUAGGCGGCCAACUAAGUCGGACGUGAAAUCCCCAGGCUCAACCUGGGAACUGCGUCCGAUACUGGAUGGCUUGAAUCCGGGAGAGGGAUGCAGAAUUCCAGGUGUAGCGGUGAAAUGCGUAGAUAUCUGGAGGAAUACCGGUGGCGAAGGCGGCAUCCUGGACCGGCAUUGACGCUGAGGAGCGAAAGCCAGGGGAGCAAACGGG